AGUAGGGAAUCUUCGGCAAUGGACGAAAGUCUGACCGAGCAACGCCGCGUGAGUGAAGAAGGUUUUCGGAUCGUAAAACUCUGUUGGUAGAGAAGAACGUUGGUGAGAGUGGAAAGCUCAUCAAGUGACGGUAACUACCCAGAAAGGGACGGCUAACUACGUGCCAGCAGCCGCGGUAAUACGUAGGUCCCGAGCGUUGUCCGGAUUUAUUGGGCGUAAAGCGAGCGCAGGUGGUUUAUUAAGUCUGGUGUAAAAGGCAGUGGCUCAACCAUUGUAUGCAUUGGAAACUGGUAGACUUGAGUGCAGGAGAGGAGAGUGGAAUUCCAUGUGUAGCGGUGAAAUGCGUAGAUAUAUGGAGGAACACCGGUGGCGAAAGCGGCUCUCUGGCCUGUAACUGACACUGAGGCUCGAAAGCGUGGGGAGCAAACAGGAUUA
Molecule: ribosomal RNA, 435 nt
Filed under: Micromonospora sp. AMSO1212t
Lineage: Bacteria; Bacillati; Actinomycetota; Actinomycetes; Micromonosporales; Micromonosporaceae
Description: bacterial SSU rRNA
Rfam family: Bacterial small subunit ribosomal RNA
Source: RNAcentral